UUGAACGCUGGCGGCAGGCCUAACACAUGCAAGUCGAACGGUAACAGGAAGAAGCUUGCUUCUUUGCUGACGAGUGGCGGACGGGUGAGUAAUGUCUGGGAAACUGCCUGAUGGAGGGGGAUAACUACUGGAAACGGUAGCUAAUACCGCAUAACGUCGCAAGACCAAAGAGGGGGACCUUAGGGCCUCUUGCCAUCGGAUGUGCCCAGAUGGGAUUAGCUAGUAGGUGGGGUAAAGGCUCACCUAGGCGACGAUCCCUAGCUGGUCUGAGAGGAUGACCAGCCACACUGGAACUGAGACACGGUCCAGACUCCUACGGGAGGCAGCAGUGGGGAAUAUUGCACAAUGGGCGCAAGCCUGAUGCAGCCAUGCCGCGUGUAUGAAGAAGGCCUUCGGGUUGUAAAGUACUUUCAGCGGGGAGGAAGGUGUUGUGGUUAAUAACCACAGCAAUUGACGUUACCCGCAGAAGAAGCACCGGCUAACUCCGUGCCAGCAGCCGCGGUAAUACGGAGGGUGCAAGCGUUAAUCGGAAUUACUGGGCGUAAAGCGCACGCAGGCGGUCUGUCAAGUCGGAUGUGAAAUCCCCGGGCUCAACCUGGGAACUGCAUUCGAAACUGGCAGGCUUGAGUCUCGUAGAGGGGGGUAGAAUUCCAGGUGUAGCGGUGAAAUGCGUAGAGAUCUGGAGGAAUACCGGUGGCGAAGGCGGCCCCCUGGACGAAGACUGACGCUCAGGUGCGAAAGCGUGGGGGAGCAAACAGGAUUAGAUACCCUGGUAGUCCACGCCGUAAACGAUGUCUAUUUGGAGGUUGUGCCCUUGAGGUGUGGCUUCCGGAGCUAACGCGUUAAAUAGACCGCCUGGGGAGUACGGCCGCAAGGUUAAAACUCAAAUGAAUUGACGGGGGCCCGCACAAGCGGUGGAGCAUGUGGUUUAAUUCGAUGCAACGCGAAGAACCUUACCUGGUCUUGACAUCCACAGAACUUUCCAGAGAUGGAGGGGUGCCUUCGGGAACUGUGAGACAGGUGCUGCAUGGCUGUCGUCAGCUCGUGUUGUGAAAUGUUGGGUUAAGUCCCGCAACGAGCGCAACCCUUAUCCUUUGUUGCCAGCGGUUAGGCCGGGAACUCAAAGGAGACUGCCAGUGAUAAACUGGAGGAAGGUGGGGAUGACGUCAAGUCAUCAUGGCCCUUACGACCAGGGCUACACACGUGCUACAAUGGCGCAUACAAAGAGAAGCGAACUCGCGAGAGCAAGCGGACCUCAUAAAGUGCGUCGUAGUCCGGACUGGAGUCUGCAACUCGACUCCAUGAAGUCGGAAUCGCUAGUAAUCGUGGAUCAGAAUGCCACGGUGAAUACGUUCCCGGGCCUUGUACACACCGC
Molecule: ribosomal RNA, 1375 nt
Filed under: uncultured Gammaproteobacteria bacterium
Lineage: Bacteria; Pseudomonadati; Pseudomonadota; Gammaproteobacteria
Description: bacterial SSU rRNA
Rfam family: Bacterial small subunit ribosomal RNA
Source: RNAcentral